GAUGAACGCUGGCGGCGUGCUUAACACAUGCAAGUCGAACGAAGCACUUUAUUUGAUUUCCUUCGGGACUGAUUAUUUUGUGACUGAGUGGCGGACGGGUGAGUAACGCGUGGGUAACCUGCCUUGUACAGGGGGAUAACAGUUGGAAACGGCUGCUAAUACUGCAUAAGCGCACAGCAUCGCAUGUCGCAGUGUGAAAAACUCCGGUGGUAUAAGAUGGACCCGCGUUGGUUUAUCUAGUUGGUGAGGUAACGGCCCACCAAGGCGACGAUCCAUAGCCGACCUGAGAGGGUGACCGGCCACAUUGGGACUGAGACACGGCCCAAACUCCUACGGAAGGCAGCAGUGGGGAAUAUUGCACAAUGGGCGAAAGCCUGAUGCAGCGACGCCGCGUGAGCGAAGAAGUAUUUCGGUAUGUAAAGCUCUAUCAGCAGGGAAGAUAAUGACGGUACCUGACUAAGAAGCACCGGCUAAAUACGUG
Molecule: ribosomal RNA, 481 nt
Filed under: uncultured bacterium
Lineage: Bacteria
Description: partial 16S ribosomal RNA
Rfam family: Bacterial small subunit ribosomal RNA
Source: RNAcentral